RNAcentral lists this ribosomal RNA (468 nucleotides) under uncultured bacterium. RNAcentral's name for it is "bacterial SSU rRNA". It matches the Rfam family "Bacterial small subunit ribosomal RNA", at positions 335 to 795 of the family's 1533-position model. The record is from RNAcentral.
ACUCCUACGGGAGGCAGCAGUAGGGAAUCUUCCACAAUGGACGCAAGUCUGAUGGAGCAACGCCGCGUGAGUGAAGAAGGUUUUCGGAUCGUAAAGCUCUGUUGUUGGUGAAGAAAGAUAGUGAGAGUAACUGCUCAUUAUUUGCCGGUAAUCAACCAGAAAGUCACGGCUAACUACGUGCCAGCAGCCGCGGUAAUACGUAGGUGGCAAGCGUUGUCCGGAUUUAUUGGGCGUAAAGCGAGCGCAGGCGGAAAGAUAAGUCAGAUGUGAAAGCCCUCGGCUUAACCGAGGAAUAGCAUCGGAAACUGUCUUUCUUGAGUGCAGAAGAGGAGAGUGGAACUCCAUGUGUAGCGGUGGAAUGCGUAGAUAUAUGGAAGAACACCAGUGGCGAAGGCGGCUCUCUGGUCUGUAACUGACGCUGAGGCUCGAAAGCAUGGGUAGCGAACAGGAUUAGAUACCCUGGUAGUC